CCUACGGGUGGCAGCAGUGGGGAAUAUUGCGCAAUGGGCGAAAGCCUGACGCAGCGACGCCGCGUGAGGGAUGACGGUCUUCGGAUUGUAAACCUCUGUCAGCAGGGAAGCACGGUCACUGUGCUAAUCAGCAGUGAAUAGACGCUACCUGCAAAGCAUGCACCGGCUCACUCCGUGCAAGCAGCCGCGGUCAUACGGAGGGUGCGUGCGUUAAUCGGAAUUGCUGGGCGUAAAGCGCUCGUAGGCGGGAUGUCAAGUCAAGGGUGAAAUCCGCGCGCUCAACGUGGGAACUGCCGUUGAAACUGGCAAACUGGAGUGUGUGAGAGGAUAGUGGAAUUCCAGGUGUAGGAGUGAAAUCCGUAGAUAUCUGGAGGAACAUCAGUGGCGAAGGCGACUAUCUGGCACAUAACUGACGCUGAGGAACGAAAGCCAGGGUAGCGAAUGGGAUUAGAUACCCCUGUAGUC
Molecule: ribosomal RNA, 465 nt
Filed under: uncultured bacterium
Lineage: Bacteria
Description: partial 16S ribosomal RNA
Rfam family: Bacterial small subunit ribosomal RNA
Source: RNAcentral